GAUGAACGCUGGCGGCGUGCCUAAUACAUGCAAGUCGAGCGAACAGACGAGGAGCUUGCUCCUCUGACGUUAGCGGCGGACGGGUGAGUAACACGUGGAUAACCUACCUAUAAGACUGGGAUAACUUCGGGAAACCGGCGCUAAUACCGGAUAAUAUAUUGAACCGCAUGGUUCAAUAGUGAAAGACGGUUUUGCUGUCACUUAUAGCUGGAUCCGCGCCGCAUUAGCUAGUUGGUAAGGUAACGGCUUACCAAGGCAACGAUGCGUAGUCGACCUGAGAGGGUGAUCGGCCACACUGGAACUGAGACACGGUCCAGACUCCUACGGGAGGCAGCAGUAGGGAAUCUUCCGCAAUGGGCGAAAGCCUGACGGAGCAACGCCGCGUGAGUGAUGAAGGUCUUCGGAUCGUAAAACUCUGUUAUUAGGGAAGAACAAAUGUGUAAGUAACUAUGCACGUCUUGACGGUACCUAAUCAGAAAGCCACGGCUAACUACGUGCCAGCCGCCGCCGUAA
This 513-nucleotide ribosomal RNA is filed under the name uncultured bacterium. RNAcentral describes it as "partial 16S ribosomal RNA". It matches the Rfam family "Bacterial small subunit ribosomal RNA", at positions 28 to 523 of the family's 1533-position model. The record is from RNAcentral.